AGUAGCCUACGGGGGGCAGCAGUUAGGAAUAUUCGUCAAUGGGGGAAACCCUGAACGAGCAACGCCGCGUGAAGGAAGAAGGCUUUCGGGUUGUAAACUUCUUUUCUCAGGGACGAAGCAAGUGACGGUACCUGAGGAAUAAGCCACGGCUAACUACGUGCCAGCAGCCGCGGUAAUACGUAGGUGGCAAGCGUUAUCCGGAUUUACUGGGUGUAAAGGGCGUGUAGGCGGGAAAGCAAGUCAGAUGUGAAAACCAUGGGCUCAACC
This 267-nucleotide ribosomal RNA is filed under the name uncultured bacterium. RNAcentral's name for it is "partial 16S ribosomal RNA". It matches the Rfam family "Bacterial small subunit ribosomal RNA", at positions 333 to 614 of the family's 1533-position model. The record is from RNAcentral.